AUUGAACGCUGGCGGCAGGCUUAACACAUGCAAGUCGAGCGGGGUGAUGGCGCUUGCACUAUCACUUAGCGGCGGACGGGUGAGUAAUGCUUAGGAAUCUGCCUAUUAGUGGGGGACAACAUCUCGAAAGGGAUGCUAAUACCGCAUACGUCCUACGGGAGAAAGCAGGGGAUCACUUGUGACCUUGCGCUAAUAGAUGAGCCUAAGUCGGAUUAGCUAGUUGGUGGGGUAAAGGCCUACCAAGGCGACGAUCUGUAGCGGGUCUGAGAGGAUGCUCGGCACCACUGGGCAUGAGACACGGCCCAGACUCCUACGGGAGGCAGCAGUGGGGAAUAUUGGACAAUGGGGGGAACCCUGAUCCAGCCAUGCCGCGUGUGUGAAGAAGGCCUUAUGGUUGUAAAGCACUUUAAGCGAGGAGGAAGCUCUUUUGGUUAAUACCCAAGAUGAGUGGACGUUACUCGCAGAAUAAGCACCGGCUAACUCUGUGCCAGCCGCCGCCGUAA
This 503-nucleotide ribosomal RNA is filed under the name uncultured bacterium. RNAcentral describes it as "partial 16S ribosomal RNA". It matches the Rfam family "Bacterial small subunit ribosomal RNA", at positions 30 to 523 of the family's 1533-position model. The record is from RNAcentral.